CAAUAGCGUAUAUUAAAGCUGUUGCGGUUAAAAAGCUCGUAGUUGGAUUUCUGUCAAGGACAACUGGUCCGCCCCUCGGGUGAGCACAUAGUUUGGUCUUGGCAUUUUGUUGGAAACUGUUGCUGCACUUGGUUGUGUGGCGCAGUGUCCAGCACUUUCACUUUGAGGAAAUUGGAGUGUUUCAAGCAGGCACAUGCCUUUGGACACAGUAGCAUGGAAUAAUUAGAUUGGGCUUUUGCUCCAACUUGUCGGUUUCUGGAGCUGAGGUGAGAAUUAAUGGGGAUUGUUGGGGGCAUCCGAAUUUAGCCGUCAGAGGUGAAAUUCUUGGAUCUGCUAAAGACGGACAACUGCGAAAGCGUUUGCCCAGGAUGUUUUCAUUGA
Molecule: ribosomal RNA, 381 nt
Filed under: uncultured eukaryote
Lineage: Eukaryota
Description: partial 18S ribosomal RNA
Rfam family: Eukaryotic small subunit ribosomal RNA
Source: RNAcentral